Malania oleifera is the source of this 4254-nucleotide long non-coding RNA. RefSeq lists it as uncharacterized. The record is from RefSeq and is a predicted model, not a curated record. NCBI's taxonomy places the organism in Eukaryota, Viridiplantae, Streptophyta, Magnoliopsida, Santalales, Ximeniaceae. The transcript is spliced from 2 exons.
CUUUCAUUUUCCCUUUCGUCCAGUUCCCGCUCUCUUCCUCUUCUUCCUGUCUGCAUCUCUUCUGCAAAUGGAAACCCACCUAGUUUCGUGCUACCUCCCCCUCUUUCCCUGCUCGGUCUCUAUUACCCGCGAUUCCCACAACCUUCAUUAAGCCCAAAGCCGGCAUCUCCACCAUCUCCGGCGCUUUCUUCUGCAACUACUCGAACCCGACUCAUUCCCUUCUCCUCGAAGCCUCCCUGAUCUCGUUUUCUUUCAUCAUCCUCAGUGACCCAGAGCCUAUGGCCGCCUUGACAGCUCCCCGGCCACUUCUCGUCGUCCCCCACGUGGCAAUGCGUCUCUGGAUGCCUAGAUUUGAACAAGUGCGGACCUAUUCGUUGGGACCACGACAAACACCCGGCGAUGAUUUUGUGAUUCUUGAAGGAGACUCUUCGGAUCCAAGAACGCUCCGAACAGAUGAGCUUUCCUUCUCCUUUAUUAGUUUUUUUUUUUUUUGUUGAUUUUUGUUUUUUGGUUAUUUUGGUUGUGAAAUCUGAGGGAUGCGUCUACAAUAUUGCGAAUACUGGCUUAUGAUGAACGGGUAUUGGAUGUUCUAGUGUCUCGGGUGAGGGAUUGGAGUUCUUGUUUAGUGUUUCAGGGUUAGGGUUUGAGCUCGUGUCAAUGGUAGAGAAAAAUGGAGGAAGACGGGUUGAUCUCGUCUCGUCCCUGGUGAGUGGGACAGGGCGUGGGUUGACUCAGACGAAUAAACCCGGGUGAGUUAGGAGCUCGGGUAAGGCAUGUGUGGGUGAACACACAUGGGGUCCAGUUGGUGAGUGGGCUUGAGAUACGGGCUUAGUGCUUUAAAAGGGUGCGAAUGGGCUUCAAAGGUGAGUUAAGGUUUUACUAGGCCUAUGGUUUAAAACUGAUAAUGGGCUUUGGGUUUGUUCAAAACAGGAGCUAGGCUAGGCUUUUAAAAAACAGGCCGGUGGUCUUGGAUUGAGUUGAAAGUUUGAAUGGACUGGGGUAGUUUGAAGUUUGAAUGGGCUUUAGCCAUGGAUUCAGGUCAGGAUUGUAAAAGUGGGCUUGGGUUAAAUAAGCACGCCACGGGCACCUAGGUUUGAAAGGGGGCUAGGGUACGGGUCAGACAGGACAAGACUCGGUAAUCUGGAUAUUGGGGAGAUGGGUCACCCGAAUUAGGAUUCGGGUUCAAGGAAAUGGAUUUGGAGUCUAAAAUCAUAUCUAAAAGCUUGAAUGAGAGUUCAGGGGUACCUACACUCGUAAUCACAUAUACAGUAAUGUUAUAGGAAUUGAAUAAAUGGAUACAAAAUUUUACCUUUCUCUUUUUCUCCUCCGGACUUCUUUUCCAGCCUAAGUAUGUGUUUGAUAUGAACGCCUAUCCUAAGUGAACUAUUAAGGAUCCGUCUCCUAGGCUCUGAAUGGAAGGGUCUGAACCUCUGUUGCAGGUUCUCAGGCUCUUAUUUUCUGCACAGUUUCUCUGUACUCUGCAAUUUGGGAGAGUUUCUCUCCUUAAUUUUUUGAGUAAUCCCUCCUAAUUCUGCAAAAUUUCCCUGUGGUGCUCUAUCUCUCUCUCAAUUAAAAUUUUCCAGAGUUUUCUAAGCUCUCCCCUCAGUUUUCCUUCUAUUUCCCCAGCGUUUCUCUACGCUCCCUAUUUCUAUAAGGACCCAAACCGUGAUAUAUGGAUUUAUUGUGUAAAAGAGGGAAAUAUGGAAUUUGCACAGAUUGUCGACGAGGCCAUAAUUUGUCGACGAAGGUAGAAGACUUCUCGUCGACGAAAUUCAAAGGCUCGUCAACCAAGAAAAGCAGAGGGGUUUAGGAAAAUUUGGAAUAUCUAGCUCGUCGAUGAGGCUGCCGAUUCGUCGACGAAACUAGUGAAGAAUUUGUCGAUGAGGACACCAAUUCGUCAACGAAUGCACUCGGGUCAAAGGUACUAUAAAGGAUAUUUUGGGUUGCUUUGGGGCUAAGUUUCCCCAAGCUCUCUCUCUCUCUCUCUCAAGAACUCUCCCUACACUCUCUUUUUCUAGCUUUGUUUGCCGAUCGUUGCCCGGUUCGUAAAUCCAACGAUACUGCGAGGAUCAGUGAAGGAUUCUCUACGUUUCUAGCGGAUCGAAAUCUCGUUUCGGGCUAAAAUUGAGGUAAGGCUCUGUUUUCGUUCCUGAUUCAGUAUAUAUAUAAUAGUACAAAUUGUAAGCAUGUACUGUACUGUGAUUUGUAGGUUUUGGAGUCUCGGUUCGUAGUUUUGAGGAUCGUAGAGUUCGCAGUUGGAAAUCGGGUUAAGGUAAGAUGAUUCUGUUUAUAUCAGUCCAUUUUCGAAAUCAGGAUCGGUAAGCUUGUAGGCUACAAUCGUAUGUAUGUUUUGGCUACUUAUUUAGGGAAAUCUAUCAAGUAAAAAUGUGGGAUUUUCGGGGUAUAGUUUUUGGGAAAAUUAGGGAUUUCAGGAAUCAUCUCUACUUUGUUUGGAAAACUGUUGAUUAUGUUAAAACUGUAUUAUUGAGGUGACAGUAAUCCAUAUUUGCAUAAAUUGUAUACUUGAAUUUGUAAACGAUAUGAUUUUCCGUAAACCAAAUAAGUGUGGUAUGUAUGGUUGUAUGUAUUUGUUCCAAGUAUUUGUAAAACAGCUAUGUGGCAGUUAAUUACCGUACACUGAAAUGUAUAGGAAUGUGAGUUCCAAAAUGAUUCCAGGGAUUUGUAAAAUAGCCAUGUAUCGGUUAACUACUGUGGGCGAGAGUAGCCGGCUCUAUAUCCGAGGUGUGAAAUAUCACCAGUAUGUUUCGGUUGGUCACCAAAGGGGGUGUUCUACACCAUAUGUAGCAAUGUAAUUACUGUGGGCCUAGGUCUUCGCUUCGUAGUUGCAUGUGUAGCAAUGUAAUCGCUGUGAGAUUAGGUGACCUUGUGUAGUUGCGUAUGUAGCAAUGUAAUCACUAUUGGGCCUGAGUCGUCGCAUUGUAGUUGCGUAUGUAGCAAUGUAAUCGAUGUGAGACUAGGUGACCUUGUGUAGUUGCGUAUAGAACAAUGUAAUCACUGUGGGCCUCGGUCGUCGCAGCGUAGUUGCAUAUGUAGCAAUGUAAUCGUUGUGAGACGAGGUGACCUUGUGUAGUUGCGAACUAGUACGACGACACUGAUCGUAUGUUUUGGGUAUCGUAUGUACCGGAAUGGUUUUUAUGAAAAUACUGGAACUGUAUGUAUAUGUAUGGUAUUGUAUGGAAAUGUUUCGAACUAUAUCGUAUUUUAUAGUGUUAUGAAGUAUGUAAAAUAAUACUAGUAUGCCACACACUGAUAUAACCUGUUUUCUCCCUUACUGAGAGGUGUCUCACCCCGAAUAUAUAUAUAAAUAUUUUUCAGGUCUUUCGGGUAGUCGAAACUAACAUCCUAGCGUCUGGAAGCAAGGGGUGUCAUUUAGCUACUACUAGUACCUGUUAAGUACGAGUUUUGGUAUCCAGGUUGUCAGGAUGGUUUUUGCUGACACCUGGGGUAUGUUUGUAUUAUGGGAAUGUAAAUACUAACUUGUAUAGACUCUAGUAUGAUACUGUUGUUGUAUAAAAGAUCGUAUUCCGCUACGUAUAUUUGAAUGAGUAUGGAUGGUUAUGCGUAUGUAAAUAGGGCAUCCGUUCACCCCAAGGGGUCGGACCCUCUCUUUGGCAUUAUAUCAUGUAUGUUUUAAUUGAUAUAGAGAGGUUAGGUUACUUUAUUCACACUUGGGACCCACCUGCGGGUUCGGGGCGUGACAAUUUCUCUCCUCUCCUAAUUUCUGUAGGGCUCUAUUUGCUCUCUCUAAUUUUCUCUCAAUUCUUGGAGAGUUUCCAUGCUCUCUGAGGGGUGUCUUUGCAGUGUGUGAGCCUAUCACUAUUUACAGGGAGUUGGCGCAGCUUCUUGGCACUAAUUUCAUUCCCUUGCAACCAAUUUUGUCAGGGAAUAAUAUUCCCUGCACGUGUGACUGAUUUGAUUUUUUUUAUCCUCCGUUAACCAACCCUCCCUUUCCUGAACGCAGGUGAUCCUGAAAGGAAUGGAGAGCUUUUGGGAGGUUUCCAGAUGGCAGCACCAGGAUGGAGGGAAAGGUGAUUCUCAGUUUGGCCAGAUGGCUCUUGAAGAGAGGAGGGUUUUUGGGAGUUCCAUGUGGCAGCAUGGUGAUGGAGGGCUUGGCAUCUUCAUUUUUAUUGAAUUUUGUAUUUUCUAUUUUUGUCAUUUCUGCAUGAAUGUAACCCCGAGGUUACCACCUGUAACCAUUAUUUGUAUAUUUUAUUAUUUCCUGCUUUAUUUCAC